UUCCGUUGGUGAACCUGCGGAAGGAUCAUUA
This 31-nucleotide ribosomal RNA is filed under the name Penicillium pimiteouiense. Its description in RNAcentral is "partial 18S ribosomal RNA". Lineage: Eukaryota; Fungi; Ascomycota; Eurotiomycetes; Eurotiales; Aspergillaceae. The record is from RNAcentral.